GACGAACGCUGGCGGCGUGCCUAAUACAUGCAAGUAGAACGCACAGUUUAUACCGUAGCUUGCCACACCAUAGACUGUGAGUUGCGAACGGGUGAGUAACGCGUAGGUAACCUGCCUGGUAGCGGGGGAUAACUAUUGGAAACGAUAGCUAAUACCGCAUAAUAUUAAUUAUUGCAUGAUAAUUGAUUGAAAGAUGCAACUGCAUCACUACCAGAUGGACCUGCGUUGUAUUAGCUAGUAGGUGAGGUAACGGCUCACCUAGGCGACGAUACAUAGCCGACCUGAGAGGGUGAUCGGCCACACUGGGACUGAGACACGGCCCAGACUCCUACGGGAGGCAGCAGUAGGGAAUCUUCGGCAAUGGACGAAAGUCUGACCGAGCAACGCCGCGUGAGUGAAGAAGGUUUUCGGAUCGUAAAGCUCUGUUGUAAGAGAAGAACGGGUGUGAGAGUGGAAAGUUCACACUGUGACGGUAUCUUACCAGAAAGGGACGGCUAACUACGUG
RNAcentral lists this ribosomal RNA (505 nucleotides) under uncultured bacterium. Its description in RNAcentral is "partial 16S ribosomal RNA". It matches the Rfam family "Bacterial small subunit ribosomal RNA", at positions 28 to 507 of the family's 1533-position model. The record is from RNAcentral.